GGGUGGGGAAGGGAAACACUGGCUUCGGCAAGAAAGAGGACGCCUCCGUCACAAAGGUCCGGAGGCAGGACUUGGUUACCAAGGCUCCCCAGGACGGACCUGCAGGCAGCUUUGGGGUUCAGUAUGGGCUAUUUCAACUACGAGUUCAAAAGCCAUCGAGGUCUGGUGAUGCCGUCUCACAUCGGUCAGGAAUGCAUUUAUUCGCGUCACACGUGAGCUCCGUGGACAAAGCGAGGUAUGAAAAAUAAAGACGGAGAGAGGACUGAUUAGGGAGCUGUGGUGCUGGACGCCCCCAGAGCCUGCCCGUUCAGUCUUUGUCUUGCCCUCUGUGCCAUCCUAAGAUUCCAGAGCUCCUCUCAUUUGUGACUUCAUUGUCACUUUUACGUGUGCUUUUAUGUGGCUGCAUUUCUCCCGUCCUUCCAAAGGUGGAGGCUGAAUGAUUGCACAGUAACUAGAAGCCCCUUUCUGAGGGCUCACCCUGGGCCAGUCUCUGUUCCAGGAACCCGAUCUACCUGUCCUGUGCUUUCUUCUUACAGGACCCCACCCACCCUGCCCACCCUUGCCCUGAGG
Molecule: long non-coding RNA, 570 nt
Filed under: Sus scrofa (pig)
Lineage: Eukaryota; Metazoa; Chordata; Mammalia; Artiodactyla; Suidae
Description: lncRNA (ENSSSCG00070010127.1)
Source: RNAcentral